Long non-coding RNA from Gallus gallus (chicken), 1962 nucleotides. Lineage: Eukaryota; Metazoa; Chordata; Aves; Galliformes; Phasianidae. The record is from Ensembl.
AUCUUACUGGAGAUCCCUGUAUACCUGUAGCCUUCAAAAGAUACAUGCAAAUAUUUAAUGGAUCUUGUAUCUACAUUGGGAUAGUUUAUCACUGAAUAUCAGAGAGUAGAAGACUUGGGUUCACCUACAGAGAGAGACCGCAUGCUUAGGCACUACUGUGGACCUCCUUGAGACUCCUUUUCCCCAGAAAAUAGCUAACUUCAAAGCUGAUGGAGUGGUCAUGGAUGAAGCAAACCAGUGAAAUGAUGAGUGCUAGGAAAUUGUACACCUUCAAGAUCAGGGAGGGCUCUACGCCAUGGUGACCAGCAAUUCUACCUGUGUAACUGGACAGAGGAGGCUUUUGAAAUUCAGACUAUUACCAGCCUUUGCAGGAGAGGCUAAUGGAGUACAAGAGACCUUCUCCUGUGUUUUGCAUUCGAAAAUCUUGCAGUUGGUCUUAGGGGAGUCCAGGGACUGUGGUGUUAUCUCUAUUGCACAAGGGAGCAGGUCCCCAGCGAGAGGCUGAGCCACCAAUCAACCAAACUUGCAGACUGGGCUGAGUUUGCAGUAGGUGAAGGCUUCCUUCAAUACCAACUGCUGCUUGGGAUGUCAAAGUAGGGCAGCAGCUAGGAAUCUGUGUGGUACCUGUUACAUAACGUGGUUGCUUAAUAGAUUAGAAAUCUUAUAAUCAAAUAUAUCUCACCAUGGGAAGAUGUUAUUACUCUUCUCUGUUUCAGAGAAAAUUGACAAGAACUUUGCAGCUGUGGAUAAAUAUUUCUACAAUGUUUUCAACGCAAUCCUUUUAUAUGUAAGUGUAUCUCUCUUGUGAAUUUUACUAAACACGUAUUUUUAAGGAAGGAAACAUGCAACAGCAGAUGCAUUGAGUAUAAUUCUGCAAAUUACCAAGAUAUGAGUGCUGCUGUUGACUGUGAGCAUAGAGCAGUGAGCUAAGGUAGAGAACAACAAUAUUUGACAUAGCUGGUCACAGCUGACAUUUCUGUUCUUGAUCCAGUGAAUCAUCUGAAUCCUGUAAGAGCAUUCAUCAUGGAAAUAGUCUGAGACAGAGAAAUAAAGUGAGCUCUCUUAUAGAAUCUAUUCUUGACCCAACUGGCGAUGUUAAGAAAGGGCUCUGAUAGCUACAUAUAUUCUGUUCACUCAUAAAUAAUAGGGGGGCACCAUUUACUGGUUGUAGUCCUUGUGGUUACAGUGGGACUGUCACUGUUUUAUUAGUUACUUUUGCACUUUCUGAUGUUCCUGUAGAACAACAUUCUGUUUCAGGAGAUGUGCCUGUCAAGAAAGCAGGAGAGGGUGGAUGGCAUGAUGAGUGCCUUCCAACACUUUGUUUAUGUCUCUGCGGGGUGGAAGUAUUUUGUUAACUCUGUGCUCACAAUGUGGAUCAGUCACUGCUGCCAACAUAAAUAUUUUCAAAUAUUUCACUGAGAACUGCUGCAGAGCUACAGGAGAUUUUCUGCCUAUAUGACUGAGAUUGUGUCUCCUUUGAUUUCAACUUGAUUUAAUUUUGUAGAAGAGGCAAACACAAGAUGAGUAAUAGUGCAGCCCUCCAACUUGCAUUAUUGAUACUUCCAAAGUGUCCAGUUCAAAUGGGGGCAGAAUGUUAACAGAACUGAGAGUAUCAGUCUAGUGGCUGAAGGACAAAAAUAAUCUGCCUUUUUGAUCUUUGCUGGUCAACAAAAGCAUGCUUUGCUUGCUCCAGAAGUCUUUCAUGUGAGAGAAAAUGGACAGAGAUGAAAACCCAUGUCUGAUCUGAUGCUUUGGCAAGCUGUGUUUUCUUACACCCACAGGAGAUGAAGAGUUCAGGCCUUUCAGAAUAAUGGACUAAGGUAAAAGAGAAUUCCCUUCUGUCAUGUAGAAAGUCACUGAUAAAGUUUAUUCUGUGUAUAACAUGCUAUGGAUGCAGCGUUAUCAUUCUUAAGUACCUACUUUCUGCUGAAAUGAAAUGGUCAGGAAAUUGGAGGCUCCAGG